CAAAGAAUAGUUUAAUUUUAGAAUCUUAGCUUUGGGAGCUAGGGGUAAGAGUUAGAAUCUCUUUUCUUUGA
This 71-nucleotide transfer RNA is filed under the name Parabembras curta. RNAcentral's name for it is "tRNA-Pro". It matches the Rfam family "tRNA". From Rfam's summary of the family: Transfer RNA (tRNA) molecules are approximately 80 nucleotides in length. The record is from RNAcentral. Lineage: Eukaryota; Metazoa; Chordata; Actinopteri; Perciformes; Parabembridae.